UCUUUUGAAACUAAAUCUCAGCAGAUUUUAUUUCCAAGUAGAAUUAAAACAGGAAGUGAAAGUUGAAAGUAUGCCCGGCUGUGACAAAUGUCACAUUGCAAAACCGAAGCCUCUUCACCCCUGAGGACACUCAGUUCUACUCUGGGGCAGAGGGCAGCUUCCAUCUGGGAUGCUGCAGAAGCCCUCUCAAGAGGCUCUGAAGCAGAGACAAAUGCUCUGUGGCUUUCAAAGGGCCCGCAGUGUCAGUCUGAGAGAGAGAAAGGCCUUACAGGGAGCCAGGCAGAGGGCCAGUGGGAGCCUAGCAGGGACACAAGCAUUUCCUUUAUUCAAGAAAAAACCCGCUUUGUGGAGGAAGUCCCGGGUCUCCAAGCAAGUGCUAACUUUGUUAAAAAUACUGAGCCAAGCUGUGCCAACCAGUUCAAUGCUCUUCCAGGACUGAGAAGACAGGUGGCUGUCUACUCUGCUCUUGGUCUGAGGGAGUUAACGAUGAAUUCGUUCGUCUUGUCCCAUAAGCCAACGGGACGCACAUUUGUCCGCUUUAUCCACUAAGGCCAAGUGGUGCCUCACAGCUCCCCAAAGCUCCUGCAGUUGUUAGUGUUCUUAUUGUGUUGUCACCGGCUGAGUUCUUCACACAACUGUCAGUAAACCAGUCAACAGACACCAGGAACUGGCAAGCCAUCUGAGAGCAGAAGGUAGCUUACACCUACAGGGGAAUUCCUGCCAACAUCUCAGGUUCUCCUUUUGUAAUUCACUCAUUGACUCACUGUAACUAUUGAGCAGUGUGGGAGGCCUUGUAUUGAUUUGUUGUUCUCAUCCUCAUUCUUGUUUUGAGACAGGGUUUCCUGAAGACCAGGCUGGCCUAGAACUUAGAGGUAUACUGGCCUCCACCUCCCUCUUGUUGGGAUUAGAAAGGCAUGCGCCACAGCUGCUGGGCUGAGACAUUAUAUUGAAAAUCAUCUCUUAGUACAGCUUAAAAAAUGACAAACUGUAAUGCACUCAGUUACCCCAAUAACUUGUUUUUAAAAAGUCCCCACCGUUCUACAGAUGCUGCUCUCUGGACUCUGACUCUCAGAGUGUGUCUGAUGACUUGGCCCCCAGGGUACUGUGCUGGCAGGUCCUGCAGGGAGAGGACACAUCGGGUCACCUGCUCCUUUACACCGAGCUCCCUUGUGUAACUGUGGGAUAAAAUAAACUUUUUCUCUUUAUAAUUUGUGUGACAAACAGUAGCCGCGGGUGAGGAAUUUACACUUCCAGUAAAUUUUCCAGUAAAUUCGGCUUACUGCUGCACAUCUACUGUUCCACCCCGGGGAGUGGAAGCAGGGUAUCAGAUGUUCAAGGUCAUCUUUGACUGCAUAGAUUCAAGCAAGACUGGCGUGGGCUAUAUAAACCUCUCUCUCUCUCUCUCUCUCUCUCUCUCUCUCUCUCUCUCUCCCUGGAAAAAAGGAAGGAAGAAAGAAAGAAAGAAAGAAAGAGAGAAAGAAAGAAAGAGAAAAAAAAGAAUUGCAGGUAAUACAAACGUACCAGCCCUGUGUUCCCACUCUAAGAACCACUGUAUCAAUACACCCACUGCCAAAUCCCUAGAAUGCCUGGAAUUGAGAAGAGAAUAAAUAUUCAUUACAUCGAACGAAAGCAGAUUUGAGAAAAUUCUGUCAUCACAGAUAACAGAUCAGCUUGUACAAAUAUUUACACUUUUCUCUCACUGAGACGGCAAUCCAAGACUGCAAGGACAACUUCAUAGAGCAGGGCAGGCCGCUCUCUGCAUUCGGUAUGAGAGUGAGCACAGGGUUUGCAGCUGACUUGGUCAGUGAGCUGACACUGUGUGGGUGAUGGGGGGAAAGCAUGGAAACUAAGCACAACGGAGCCUGUGCUCAGACUCCAGGAGGCUCUGACUGAAGACCCAGCACCAGAUGGGUGGGGCAGGGGAAGGGAGCCAUGAAGAAAAGUUCAUCUUUACUACCUUCCUGUUACCUCCUUCAUCAUUUUUCCUUCUCUUCCACCUUCUCUCCCCACUUAUACUCCUCCACCAUGAUAUAUAUUACAAAUAUAUAUGAAAUACAUAAUAUAUAUGUAAUAUAUUUAUACACAUAUUUUGAAGGACAGAAUUGUUGCCAAAUGAGAUCUCCCUGUGCGUGUGCGUGUGUGUGUGAACAGGGGUACGAGAUGCUGGCAAGAUGCUCAGCAGUUAUGAGCGCUGGCUGCUCUGGCAGAGGACCAGGAUUUCACAGCCAUCACUCAUGGGGCAGCUCCCAAGAGUCUGACCCCCUGUUCUUGGAAACUGGAUAUCCUGUUGUGGCCUCUGCAGACACUGUGUACAAAUCGUGCCCAUACGUACAUCAGGCAAAACACCCAUGUGCAAAACAAUAACAUAAUAAAAAAUACGGGACAGAACCCCAAAGCGUCUUUUAAAACCAGCUGACAUUUGUGGAACACUUGUCACAUGCCAGCACUGGCCUAACUAUGGGAAGGAAACUUUGAGAAUGCAUAUAAUGACUCACAGAUAUAAAAUCUGCUCUUCUAAAGUGUACAUACAGUUCAGUGGCUUGAACAUAUUCAUACAUGAUACAGUCAACACCGCUGUCUAAAUAUGCAGUAUUUCCACCUCAUUCCAGAGAGAUGCCAAUCCACCAGCAGAUGCCAGACAGAGAUACUUAAAAUUAACUCUCUAAAUACCGACCUGGUAACUCAACUUCUUUUCUUUGCUAUGAGAAUUAUUUCUAGGGAGAAUCUUUCUUUGGAUGCUGUUCUGUCUGGUUUUUGUCAGCUUGACAGAAGACAGAGUGAUCUGGGAAGAGGAGCCUCAGUGGAGAACUCCAUCAGACUGUGUGUCUCAGUUAUACAGGUAACAACUGUGGAGAAUGCCAUCAGACUGUGUGUUUCAGUUAUACAGAUAAGAACUGUGGAGAACUCCAUCAGACUAUGUGUUUCAGUUAUACAGAUAAGAACUGUGGAGAAUGCCAUCAGACUGUGUGUUUCAGUUAUGCAGGUAACAACUGUGGAGAGCUCCAUCAGACUGCGUGUCUCAGUUAUGCAGGUAACAACUUUGGAGAGCUCCAUCAGACUGCCUGUCUCAGUUAUACAGAUCACAACUGUGGAGAGCUCCAUCAGACUGCGUGUUUAGUUAUACAGAUAACAACUUGCUUUCCAAUGUUUGUACCAGUUAUAGUUUCAACACUUUUCAGUCCCCAUAGUUCCAUGCUAUCUCCAGUAUUUGUAAUCCUUUCCUAAGUUCCCCUUUUCUGCUUCGAGGUGGGAUUGGGUGAUGGACAGGAACUUGUCUGUGACUUCGGGUCUCUUCUCUGCAUUCUUCUCAGAGUCUCAUGACAGUCCAGUGGUGCUAUAUGUCCCUGUUGACAUAUAGGAACCCUUAGUGUACGUUGAAUUAGGAGUUUGUUUGGAGCUCCUGCACAGUGUCUUCUGCUCUGUGUUGGAUUACUUUAUUUUUCCUAUGUCCCUUAUUAGACAAAAUAUAUGUUAAAACCUUUAAAUUUCGUUAUAUAUAAGAACAUUUUCAAUAAACAGAAAGGUAACUGUAAUCUUC
Rattus norvegicus (Norway rat) is the source of this 3538-nucleotide non-coding RNA. Lineage: Eukaryota; Metazoa; Chordata; Mammalia; Rodentia; Muridae. The record is from RefSeq and is a predicted model, not a curated record.